GACCCUUUGCGACCCCAUGGACUAUACAGUCCAUGAAUUCUCCAGGCCAGAAUACUGGAUGGGUUGCCAUUUCCUUCUCCAGGUGAUCUUCCGCACCCAAGGAUCAAACCCAGGUCUGCUGAGUUGCAGGCUGAUUGUUUACCAUCUGAGUCACCAGGGAAG
This is a long non-coding RNA of Cervus elaphus (red deer), 162 nucleotides long. RefSeq lists it as uncharacterized. The transcript is spliced from 4 exons. NCBI's taxonomy places the organism in Eukaryota, Metazoa, Chordata, Mammalia, Artiodactyla, Cervidae. The record is from RefSeq and is a predicted model, not a curated record.